RNAcentral lists this microRNA precursor (82 nucleotides) under Podarcis lilfordi (Lilford's wall lizard). Lineage: Eukaryota; Metazoa; Chordata; Lepidosauria; Squamata; Lacertidae. The record is from RNAcentral.
AUAUGUGUAUACACACACACACACACACACACACACACAUAUAUAUAUAUAUACACAUGUGUGUGUGUGUGUAUAAAUAUAU